Paenibacillus pini JCM 16418 is the source of this 130-nucleotide regulatory RNA element. It matches the Rfam family "pan motif". The record is from Rfam. Lineage: Bacteria; Bacillati; Bacillota; Bacilli; Caryophanales; Paenibacillaceae.
GAGGCGGUAUCGAUUGCUCGAACUGCACUCUUGCAAUAUCAGUCUAAUUUUAUGGACGUAGUAAUUUGCAUUGAAACUGAUUGCAGUUACGUUGGAUUCUGCUCUGAGCCGAGAGGACCGAGACAGAAGG